This 492-nucleotide ribosomal RNA is filed under the name uncultured bacterium. RNAcentral describes it as "partial 16S ribosomal RNA". It matches the Rfam family "Bacterial small subunit ribosomal RNA", at positions 29 to 507 of the family's 1533-position model. The record is from RNAcentral.
AGUGAACGCUGGCGGUAGCCCUAACACAUGCAAGUCGAACGGCAGCACAGUAAGAGCUUGCUCUUACGGGUGGCGAGUGGCGGACGGGUGAGGAAUACAUCGGAAUCUACUUUUUCGUGGGGGAUAACGUAGGGAAACUUACGCUAAUACCGCAUACGACCUACGGGUGAAAGCAGGGGAUCUUCGGACCUUGCGCGAUUGAAUGAGCCGAUGUCGGAUUAGCUAGUUGGCGGGGUAAAGGCCCACCAAGGCGACGAUCCGUAGCCGGUCUGAGAGGAUGAUCAGCCACACUGGAACUGAGACACGGUCCAGACUCCUACGGGAGGCAGCAGUGGGGAAUAUUGGACAAUGGGCGCAAGCCUGAUCCAGCCAUACCGCGUGGGUGAAGAAGGCCUUCGGGUUGUAAAGCCCUUUUGUUGGGAAAGAAAAGCAGCAGGUUAAUACCCCGCUGUUCUGACGGUACCCAAAGAAUAAGCACCGGCUAACUUCGUG